RNAcentral lists this unclassified non-coding RNA (628 nucleotides) under Hevea brasiliensis (rubber tree). Lineage: Eukaryota; Viridiplantae; Streptophyta; Magnoliopsida; Malpighiales; Euphorbiaceae. The record is from RNAcentral.
CUUGCGAAGCAUCCAUACAAACUCUCAUUAUCCUAACAUAAAUGUCACUGGCCAUGGUUGGAAACACCCCAUGCUGAUACUGCACCGAUAGCAAACUAGGGUCAAUACAAAGGGAUAUAAUAUCCCUCUUUUGGGGGCAGUAGUAACAUAACCAAAAUUUAGUACAACGAAAAUAAACUUGAGAUACCAUAACAGCACGACUUCGGGACAUCGGCAGCUCUUGGAGGAACUUCUCAAAUGCAUCCAUUCUCACCCUCCCCUUAAUCUCAAUAAAGCCAGACCAAUCUUUUGCAGAAGUUUUUUCACCACUUCUAAAAAUGCCAAUAACUGAGGCCGUGGAUGAAAUAUUCAGCUGAAGUAAGCCUUCCCAAACACGUUCACCCUUGGGCAUGGCAAGAGGAGGUGCCACCUUUGAUUUCACAUGAUUGUCGGUGGAUUUAUCAUCAGCAUCCAAUUGUGUGUUCUUCACAUCCAUAACAUCAGGUUUACCAGAGGUAGUGUCACAUGAAUCUCUUAGAGUUGCAUCAGGAGACUUGGAUUCCAAGCUGACUUGUGAAUCAGCCUUGUCAGAGGCAGGUAUCAUUUUUCCAUUAUCCACAGGUAAAUUUUCAAAUGGUGGCUCUGAAUU